This 547-nucleotide ribosomal RNA is filed under the name uncultured bacterium. Its description in RNAcentral is "bacterial SSU rRNA". It matches the Rfam family "Bacterial small subunit ribosomal RNA", at positions 355 to 896 of the family's 1533-position model. The record is from RNAcentral.
UGGGGAAUAUUGCACAAUGGGGGGAACCCUGAUGCAGCCAUGCCGCGUGAAUGAAGAAGGCCUUCGGGUUGUAAAGUCCUUUCGGUGACGAGGAAGGUUGAUAGGUUAAUAGCCUAUCAAAUUGACGUUAAUCACAGAAGAAGCACCGGCUAACUCCGUGCCAGCAGCCGCGGUAAUACGGGGGGUGCGAGCGUUAAUCGGAAUAACUGGGCGUAAAGGGCACGCAGGCGGUGACUUAAGUGAGAUGUGAAAGCCCCGAGCUUAACUUGGGAAUUGCAUUUCAUACUGGGUCGCUAGAGUACUUUAGGGAGGGGUAGAAUUCCACGUGUAGCGGUGAAAUGCGUAGAGAUGUGGAGGAAUACCGAAGGCGAAGGCAGCCCCUUGGGAAUGUACUGACGCUCAUGUGCGAAAGCGUGGGGAGCAAACAGGAUUAGAUACCCUGGUAGUCCACGCUGUAAACGAUGUCGAUUUGGGGAUUGGGCUUUAAGCUUGGUGCCCGUAGCUAACGUGAUAAAUCGACCGCCUGGGGAGUACGGCCGCAAGGUUA